ACGAAAUGCGAUAUGUAGUGUGAAUUGCAGAAUUCUGCGAAUCAUUGAGUCUUUGAAUGCAAGUUGCGCUCGCGGGUCGUCCAAUGGCAUGCCUUCCUGAGUGUCCAC
RNAcentral lists this ribosomal RNA (108 nucleotides) under Psilotum nudum. Its description in RNAcentral is "5.8S ribosomal RNA". It matches the Rfam family "5.8S ribosomal RNA", at positions 48 to 154 of the family's 154-position model. From Rfam's summary of the family: 5.8S ribosomal RNA (5.8S rRNA) is a component of the large subunit of the eukaryotic ribosome. Lineage: Eukaryota; Viridiplantae; Streptophyta; Polypodiopsida; Psilotales; Psilotaceae. The record is from RNAcentral.